CCCCACUCGCCUCCUGAGCCCAGCGCGUCGCCUCCUGGCCGGAGGAGGAGGUGGUGGAGGAGGAGGAGGAGGCGCCGCCUUCUUGCCGCGCGCCCUCGCUGUUGUCUGCACUCCGCUCUGGACCAGUUUGGGGAAGUUGCCGGAGCCCCGCGUCGCCCAGAUGUGCGACCUCAUUGAGCCGCAGCCGGCCGAGAAGAUCGGCAAGAUGAAGAAGUUGCGGAGAACUUUGUCGGAGAGUUUCAGCCGCAUCGCUUUGAAGAAAGACGACACCACCUUUGAUGAGAUAUGUGUCACAAAGAUGUCUACACGGAACUGCCAGGGAAUGGACUCAGUGAUCAAACCCCUGGACACAAUUCCUGAGGAUAAAAAAGUCAGGGUUCAGAGGACACAGAGCACCUUUGACCCAUUUGAGAAACCAGCUAAUCAAGUAAAGAGGGUGCAUUCCGAGAACAAUGCUUGCAUUAACUUCAAGUCCUCCUCCACUGGCAAAGAGUCACCAAAAGUUAGGCGGCACUCCAGCCCCAGCUCGCCAACCAGCCCCAAAUUUGGAAAAGCUGACUCAUACGAAAAACUGGAAAAACUAGGGGAAGGAUCUUAUGCUACAGUUUACAAAGGAAAAAGCAAAGUAAAUGGGAAGUUGGUAGCCCUGAAGGUGAUCAGGCUGCAAGAAGAAGAAGGUACACCUUUUACAGCUAUCAGGGAAGCCUCUCUGUUAAAAGGACUAAAACAUGCUAACAUAGUUCUGCUUCAUGACAUCAUCCACACCAAGGAGACGCUGACACUUGUGUUUGAAUAUGUGCACACUGAUUUAUGUCAGUACAUGGACAAGCACCCUGGGGGGCUGCAUCCAGAUAAUGUGAAGUUGUUUUUAUUUCAGUUGCUGCGAGGGCUGUCUUACAUCCACCAGCGUUACAUUUUGCACAGAGACCUGAAACCACAGAACCUUCUGAUCAGUGACACGGGGGAGUUAAAGCUGGCAGAUUUCGGUCUUGCAAGAGCAAAAUCUGUCCCUAGCCACACAUACUCCAAUGAAGUGGUUACCUUGUGGUACAGACCUCCAGAUGUCCUCCUGGGCUCAACAGAAUAUUCCACCUGCCUUGACAUGUGGGGUGUUGGCUGCAUCUUUGUUGAAAUGAUCCAAGGAGUUGCUGCUUUUCCAGGAAUGAAAGACAUUCAGGAUCAACUUGAACGAAUAUUUCUGGUUCUCGGAACGCCAAAUGAGGACACGUGGCCUGGAGUUCAUUCUUUACCACAUUUUAAGCCAGAACGCUUUACCCUGUACAGCUCUAAAAACCUUAGGCAAGCGUGGAAUAAGCUCAGCUAUGUGAAUUAUGCAGAGGAUCUGGCCUCCAAGCUCCUACAGUGUUCCCCAAAGAACAGACUAUCAGCACAGGCUGCCUUGAGCCACGAGUAUUUUAGUGACCUGCCCCCACGGCUAUGGGAACUGACCGAUAUGUCUUCUAUUUUUACCGUCCCAAACGUAAGAUUGCAGCCAGAAGCUGGAGAAAGCAUGCGGGCCUUUGGGAAAAACAAUAGUUAUGGCAAAAGUCUAUCAAAUAGCAAGCACUGAUGAGCACAACAUUCUCAAGAGAGCACAGUUGGAGUAAUAAAAUUAUGAAGUAUGGAACUGUUUCAAUAGUAGAACUGUAGAAGAUUAAGUUGUCAUCAUUCUGGGAAGAAAAAAAAAACAUUAAUGAAGUGGCCAAUAAUACGAAGGGAAUCACGGAUCACUUUCCUUCCCCUCCCUGUGGUGGAUUUCACUUACAAGAAAAUUGAAGCUGGCAAGACCCUGUUUUCUCUGCAAUUUAUUUAAAACCUUGCACGCAUUUGGAUACCUUGUGAUUUCCAAGAACUAUGUGAAGAUUAAGCUUUGCUUACUGAUACAUGGCAUGUAUUCUUUUCAGUCUUUUGUGUUUGAUUUUGUUUGAUUUCCCUCUGCAGCACAGCGUCUCUGUAAAGGUUUUUAUGCUUUCACCAGCCAUGUCUUAAAUACAUUAAGACAACACAUUUGGUGUUCACACUUCUUCAGUAAUGUCUGUACUUGAAAGCCACAUAGUGGCAUAAAACAAUGUGUGUUUUCUUUGAGAGCAGUGCACAUUUUGCAACCACUAGGAAGGAAAUUUUUAGCUACAGCAAACCCAUGUUCUCAGACCGACUUGACAACUUGGUCCCUGGCUGUGGGGCCCCACUUGUUGCUUACCUUUUGAGGACAUUUGCAAAUGUGGUUUUCUCUUGGAAAUAACUGCACGUGUAUAUAGGAUAUCAGAAUCUGCUUAGCAUUUUAAGCCACAUAGCAUGACUGUUUUCCAAGUAGGUUGGAAGUAAAGAAACUUAUAUCAAGCGUUCAGAACAAAGACAGGGAUAAAUUGCUUACUUUUCAACCUCUGGAAAUGGAGGUAACCUUUUACAUGUUUUCUGGGUCUUGUCUACAUCUUAUAUUUUCCAUCCACUCUGUUAUGCUUCAGGAGUGUUUUCUAAAUGGAAGAGAAAAGAGUGAGGAACAGAAUGCUUAAAACCUGGGUGCAAAUGAAUUGUCUCUGCUGGAUGAGCCCUGAAAGCCAUCUUGGCUAGUUAACAGUUAAAAAAGCAAAUUACAAAGUUAUCCAGAGUUAAAAAUUUGCUCACUUACACCAAAGCACCUUUAAAUUACAUUUUUUAAAACAUUCCAAGCUGAUUGGAAGACACCAUUGGGGACCUUAACUUUAAACAGUCUCCUGGAAAAACUGUUUGAACACAGGUUGCAGAACCCAUGUGGGAGUCUUGCUUUCAAGAUGGCAAGGGAAAAAGAAAGGCCCAGCUUCCCUUGUUAAGAUGAUGAGGGUCUUGAAGGAUGAAGGCAUGUAUGUGACAAGGAGGGAAAAGUGGACUGGGCACACGUUGUGCUUUGAUGCAGAGGGAGACAUGCCUGAUGUAGGCCUUCUCCCAGUGGGACCGUCCUCACUGCAUAACCCCAAAUAAUACUGAGGCCAAGUGGGCAGUUAGGAAACUUCAUAUAAAGCAUGAAACCUAGCCCCUCAGAACACCAAUUCCUAUGGAAAUACUUCCAUGUAUGUCGUUCUACAUUUUUCUAUUGGUCAGAAAGAAGGAGAGACUGAGAAUUUGAAAUGUGUCGCACUUUUUUAGGAUCGAGACUAGGAAUUAUGAGCCAGUUUGACAAAGGCAUCUUCUGAGAGUCAUGUGAGGGGAAAGGUUCUCGACAGUCAAAGCCAGCAUUCCUAAGAAAUUGGACCCAGAACUUCUAAGCGUUAAAAGGGUACCUUCCCUGGAGUGGGACGUAACAUGCCAAGGUCACAAUCCAGCCUAUUCAGAAGUGGCAUUCAUUGAAAACUUACAGGUGCAAAGCAAGGAAUUGUUUGCUAAUUAAUUUUAAAGAGAGCAAAAGUUACCCAAGACUAGAAUGUUUACUAGUCGCUACCUAGAAAUCUUUCCCAUUCUUCUUUCGGACAUUCCAACCCAUUGGAAGUCUUUGGCUGUAUUUUAACAUGUGCUGAAAUUAGGAUUCCUUAAGAUAAAUAUGGGGAGAAAAUUUUACAUGCAAUCAAGAAUGGCCUUGUCUGUGGUUUGUUUUGAAUUAUUUAUUUGGGGGAGAGGCAUAACUUUUGUAUUUUACUAACUUUAAAUCAAGAGCAGCUGAUGAUUAAAUCUUGCUAUUUAAUAAGCUUUCUAAUUGGAACAUUUGAAAAUAUUUAAUAUUAAAAAAGACUUCAAUUAGGAAUGUUAGCAUCAUUCAGAGAUAUAUAAGCAGCUUCUCUCUGGAAUUGAAGCAUAAUACUCAGUAUUGGGAGGUAUCUGUUUUUUACAGAGAUGUAUGUCUCAGAAGGUCUCAUUUAGGAGGUUUGUAGUUCCCUGUCCUUGUUAUCAGUACAGGAAAUCCAAAGUUUGCUUUGUCUCUCUCCCCUUUCCUCUCCUAUUGGCAAUCCAUCCUCCCUCCUCCUCUCCCCUGCCUUCUCCCACUGAGGGCAGCCAUGAAAAUCAUUACAGAACAUGUUCAUUAGCAGAUUUAUUAUUCUAUUGAGAAAGCAAUGGAAUGUUUUGUGAGAUUAUUUUUAUAUGAAGGAUUAGCUUGAAUUCAUACAGCUGGAAUAGUAGGAACACAUUAGCAUGGUGACGGUAUGAAUGCAACAUCAAUGCACACAUAGUAUCUGAAAGAAAAAUUGGGACUUCAUUUCCUUAAAGGAACAGUUUGGUUGACUUAAAAAUGCAAGAUACAUAGGACAUGCAAAAAUGUUUUGCAGUGCUCAAAGAAAAAACAAGGGGCAUAAGACAAGGGUGGCUGUCCAUCCACUGAUAUAAGGGUGAGAAGUUAUUUCUACCUCCCAAGAGUGAUAAGAAAAGUUUCCAGGGUAGCCUCCAGGUUCGCAGAGAGAGCAAAGCCUCUUGGUAUCCUCUCCUCAGUGUGUACAUGACAGCCAGUGUAAUUAAUACCCUAGCUUAUGUGUCUAUUUGAGAGACUCAUCUGUGAAUAAUACUGGUUUUGUAAUCUUUGUUACAUAAGAGGAUGUUUAGGCUGUACAUACUGGGGUAGAUUAUUGCCUACCCCCCCCCAUCCGUAGGAAUAUGCUGCAUAAUUGCACAUAACUUUUAUCUCUCUUAUUGGCUUAUAGGCAGAGGAAACCAUAUAUGUUACUGCCUUGCAAAUUUCUCAUACACCAAAAACAACCAAAAAAUGUCUCAAGUAAAAUAACCCAUCUCCUAUUUUCAUUCCCCUUCCCACAGCAGCAUAUUUUAGAGGCACAUACAAAAUUGACAUUCUCUAGUUGGAAGUGGACUUUUUUAAUUUUUCUUUUAUCUUUUUUUUUUGUAUGAUACACUGAGAUGUGUACUUUCUAGCAGGAGGUCGGUACCUAAGAAAUGUGUUAGCAUCAUUCAGAAAACUAUUAUACUCCAAAAUGAAACAUAGUAAGGAGAAUGGAAUAAUGUUGCAUAUUUGUUACCAAGUGUAAUUUGUCUGUAUUAUGAAAGAUGUAAUGGUUUGUCAGCUGUCACUGUUGUUUUCUUGUAACAUGAUAUGGAAUAAAGUAUAGCAGAAUCUCUGUA
RNA transcript from Neofelis nebulosa (Clouded leopard), 5037 nucleotides. It is a transcript of the gene named cyclin dependent kinase 14, with no coding region annotated. Lineage: Eukaryota; Metazoa; Chordata; Mammalia; Carnivora; Felidae. The transcript has 16 exons. The record is from RefSeq and is a predicted model, not a curated record.